GCUUCAAUCAACUCAUCUGACGAUCACAUCACAGAAGAAUUCUGCGUCUCGACUCUCCGACAGGACAAGCAGAGUGAUGAGGCAAAGGACCUUCGUGACCUGGCCCUUGUUGGUGUAGACAUCCUCAAGGGACAUAUCAUUGCCGCAAGUGGCAAAGUCAAACAACUUAUGCACAGUGUCAAGAAUGGCACAUCAACAGCACGCCGCCUCAGUUUGUGCGACCUGGACUAUGACGCCGCGGUGACCGUCCUCAAUGUUUGCAACACCAUGCUCAAGGACUACCGUGGUCCCAAAGGCGGUGAAAAGGAUGGACCCCUAUCCU
This 322-nucleotide long non-coding RNA is filed under the name Triticum aestivum (bread wheat). Its description in RNAcentral is "long non-coding RNA (TAES_LNC009487)". Lineage: Eukaryota; Viridiplantae; Streptophyta; Magnoliopsida; Poales; Poaceae. The record is from RNAcentral.